AGUGUUCUGCACAGUGAAUGCUCUUGACUUACUGUUCCUGAUCGGUCUGCCCCUUUACUAUCCCCACAAUAACUGCAAUGCACUAUUGUCUAAUGGAGCUGGUUGGCAGCCCAAAGAAAGUUCCAACUACAAUUACAGUUGAUAACAUGCAUCUGGACCAUUUGAACCUGUCAUUUGUUUUCCAUGAUAAAUAGUGAAGAACUGGAAGGACAGUCAGAUCCCAAGAACAACAAGGAGGACAUUGAACUGGGGAAGACCUUGGAAGUUCUCCUAUGUUCUCUGCUUCAUUUCUUCCUCUUACAUUUCCAGGACUGUGCAGGGUCAUUGAAGCUUUUUGGUUUUUAGUCCAGAUCUGCUCACUCUUCAGAAGAUUUGUCAUUUUAGUGAAAACAUAUGAAUGGUUUCUGUGCA
Peromyscus eremicus (cactus mouse) is the source of this 411-nucleotide long non-coding RNA. RefSeq lists it as uncharacterized. The record is from RefSeq and is a predicted model, not a curated record. Lineage: Eukaryota; Metazoa; Chordata; Mammalia; Rodentia; Cricetidae. The transcript has 3 exons.